RNAcentral lists this ribosomal RNA (468 nucleotides) under uncultured bacterium. RNAcentral's name for it is "partial 16S ribosomal RNA". It matches the Rfam family "Bacterial small subunit ribosomal RNA", at positions 28 to 507 of the family's 1533-position model. The record is from RNAcentral.
GACGAACGCUGGCGGCGUGCUUAACACAUGCAAGUCGAACGGAAAGGCCCUGCUUUUGUGGGGUGCUCGAGUGGCGAACGGGUGAGUAACACGUGAGUAACCUGCCCUUGACUUUGGGAUAACUUCAGGAAACUGGGGCUAAUACCGGAUAGGAGCUCCUGCUGCAUGGUGGGGGUUGGAAAGUUUCGGCGGUUGGGGAUGGACUCGCGGCUUAUCAGCUUGUUGGUGGGGUAGUGGCUUACCAAGGCUUUGACGGGUAGCCGGCCUGAGAGGGUGACCGGCCACAUUGGGACUGAGAUACGGCCCAGACUGCUACGGGAGGCAGCAGUGGGGAAUAUUGCACAAUGGGCGGAGGCCUGAUGCAGCAACGCCGCGUGCGGGAUGACGGCCUUCGGGUUGUAAACCGCUUUCGCCUGUGACGAAGCGUGAGUGACGGUAAUGGGUAAAGAAGCACCGGCUAACUACGUG